CGCACCACCUUGCCGUCGCCGCUCCCUCACCCCGACGAAUCACUGCGCCGCACCACCCUCCCGCGGCACGCGACGCCGCGCUCAUCCUCCCGGCGCGCUCGAUGCCGCACCCUCCUCCCGACGGGACUCCCUCCUCCCGGCACCUCACCCUCUCCUUCCUCCCGACGGGGCUUCGUCCUCCUGUGCAGCUCGACGCUGCUCGUGCUCCUCGCGACCUCCUCCAGCGUCGGUGGCAAAUCCAGUUCAACUAUUUUAUGAUGAUUUGGCAGUGCGGCAUCUUCAUGUGUGUCCAGCUGAAAGGGGUCAGGUGUUUGAAGGGUAGUAGCUAGACCUCUUUUCAGUAAUGUGUACUAAUUUUUAUUUGAAUACCACUGUUCUGUGAAUGCUGAUGCUGCCCUGUCCUCUGUCUGCCACAUAACCUUAGGUUAAUAUCCGGAUGCCAUGUCAAAGCUUACAGAGACGGACCUCAAGUUUCUUUUUCCACAUCUAACUGCUGACAGAUAUGUACAGACAUUAGUAGAGAUGGGAGUUCUUCUAUUAGGACAUGAUAGGAGUAUGAUUUGCUUCUUUGCAGCAUACUAUGUGGUGUAUUAGUGAUAUACAUGAUGGACUUCUUGUUUCACGAAUUGUGAGGCCUGCCAUCGGCGUCUGAGCUCGCCAGUAGCUGUUGUCAACCUAUACUAAGAUUUCAAAUUAAAAAAAUCAUGGUGUUGAUGCAUUAAUGAUAGAUUCUGCAUCCAAACUGCAUCACUAACCUGUUCAAGCAAUCUCUUGACCCAUUAAUGACUACCGCCAGGGACAGCCUCGUGAGAUACAGAUCAAAGAUUCUUGUAGAGAUGGAUUGGCUGUGAUUAUCAUUCACUGAAGGCAAAUCUCUCAAUUAUUGGUUGGGAUUUAUUUUUCAAUAUCUGCUGUUUUACGCCCUUAUGUGGUGGCAUGGUUUCACUGCUGGGUCGACUGGAUCGACCCUGGUGCCGAUGCCAAUUACCAAUUAACGAGCUGUGGCAACGAGCAUACUUUCAACAACGUGCCAUGAGGAACCCAAUCUUUGCUGGCUUCAACCUGAACAGGCCCUGCAGAGCACCUUCGGUCCAGGUGCUGAACGCCAGGAGCCUUGGACCACAUCUUCUUGUGAAACAUCAGGUGCUCGUUCGUUUUCAUUUCCAACUGUGAUCCUGCUAAUAAUUUUAUUUUCACUCGUGCAUUAGAUGGGUACGGCAGCCUUCUUGAUAUUUAUAUUUAUAUUUUUUAAUUACAAGUUCAAGUUAUGCAGUAAAGGCUAGAUCAGAGUGUCGAUUCCAUGGUUUUCUUACUGAACUAUCUUUGAUUAGUUUAUCGAAAUCCUUUCAGUAUCACUUAUUAGAUUGCACCUAUUAGACUUUAGGCAAAAUGUAGUAGUAAUAGUCUAAUAUAUCUAUCAAACUACCUGUGGUUAGUUUUAUGAAAUCCUGAAAAUAUAUCUUCUUAGAUUGCACCUAUUAGACUUUUGGCAUAUUAUGGUACCACUUUAUUUGUAUAUGUAGGUGUUGAUAUUUCAGAUUUGAGAUUUAUGAUUGUUAUAGUAUAUGGUUGUCUUAGUACAAAUUCUUGCGGUACAAACAUUGCAGAUUAUUUAUUUUUGAGCUCUUUAACAUUUGGAAAUUAUUCCUGAACUUUGCAGUGCUCAUUUUUCUGGCAAAACCUGAGGCAGAGGUGAUUGUGUCACAUCAUUUGCUUAAUUUCAUAAUAAAUCCAGCCCCGAUUUAUAUGCAUAUUAAUGCUACUUAUUUCCCAGAGCUAUACUGCAUGCUAAUGUAUUUUUAGUUUGCCAUUAGCUCAUGCUAUCAGUGUUCUUUCUUAAAUAUUGGAAACACUCAUUGGUGCAAAUAUAACUUUUUCCUCUUGAGUCAACAUAUACUAGUUAGGAAUCACAACAUAGCAAUGCACCCCACUGAGGUGAUCUUUGUGCUGCAUUUCAGAUCAAGCAUAAGUUCUCUUUUUGUACAGUUUUUGCUGCAUUUCAGAUGUCGUAUCAGCUAUAGUUGAAGGCCAUAGGAAGCAGGUUGAUUGCUUGACGAUGACGCAGAUCAGCAAAACGAGGACUAAGCUUGA
Long non-coding RNA from Panicum virgatum (switchgrass), 2091 nucleotides. RefSeq lists it as uncharacterized. Lineage: Eukaryota; Viridiplantae; Streptophyta; Magnoliopsida; Poales; Poaceae. The transcript is spliced from 3 exons. The record is from RefSeq and is a predicted model, not a curated record.